Chelonus insularis is the source of this 6435-nucleotide long non-coding RNA. RefSeq lists it as uncharacterized. The record is from RefSeq and is a predicted model, not a curated record. The transcript is spliced from 12 exons. NCBI's taxonomy places the organism in Eukaryota, Metazoa, Arthropoda, Insecta, Hymenoptera, Braconidae.
CUCAUGUAAUCCUGGUGCCAGAAGAUUUUGUUGUAAAAAGAAUAUUGAAGACGAUUGGUUAGAAGAGAAACUAUCCUGCAUACAGAAGUCUACACUAAAGGGGUAGUUAAGUUUGGUGAAAACUCGUGCCACUUCCAUUUCAUCAGGACAAAGCUUAUGAAAAUGUUUUCUUAAUCAUGGGUGACGAUGAAACUCUUUGCGUAAUGGCGGACGAAGAGACGCAAUUCUUGAAAAGCAUGAAAAUGGGAAUAGGAUAAAAAAUGAUAUUAGUGAGUGGAGAGUGUGAAUUUAUUGAUGAUUCACGAUAGUUUGACAUAUGUUGUUAAUUUGGGUCAACGUUCUAGAUGAUAGAAGACACCUUCAAAAUGCAAAUCAACUGAUAAACUUACAAUAUCGACUAGAGGACAUCUUCUGAAAGGAAAUCUCGAGAGCUACAGUCUGAAGUCCAAGACUUGCUCGGGUGUUGGAGGGUGAGCGGUCACUCGGGAUUACGCGAGUUAUAUACGAGCUUGAGAAUACGUGUGAAAAUCUAACGAUUUCUACGAGGAUUGCCAAUCAUUCCUGAAUUACCACUUUUAAGUGUUAUCUUCACAUCAUGCUUUACCUUGGGAUCAGAAGGAAAUUACGAGCUGAUUGUGGAAAUGACGUAAAAAAUAUCGAGCAGUCUAUGGAGGAAAAAAAAAAGAAAGAAAGAGGUCAAGCUUAUAGCGGUGUGUCACGAUUACUUAUUAUUAUUCAACAUCAAUCCAAUUUAAUUCUAAUUUUAAAUCAAUCUUUGAAGACGAUGACUUUACUGAAGAACGUAACACACCGUGAGAAAAUAGUUUCCAAAGUGAAAUCUAAUCUACAAAGAAGGUCUUUUGAAACGCAAAUGUUGAUUCAUGUUGUAAGAAUGAUUGGGAAUGAUAAGAUACGAAAUAGAAUGGAGGGAUUUAAUCACGAGGUUAUGGAAUACAGAUUGGACAAUUUGAAGAAAACGGUUGGGCGAUAACAAAAUAUGUAACAGGAGAAACAGAUGUUAGACACUAUUGCAAGCAGGCUAAUGAAUUUUAAAAAAAUAAAAGCCACCGAGUAACUUGAUAACAUUACAAGGAAAUCCACCAGACAAUUGUUUAUGAGCGACGUUUAUGUACACAUUAGAAACGUAGGAGAGUAUCAAACAAUUCUCAGUAAGUACACGAAUGGGUGUUAACCUAACGGAGAAUGACUUAACGGAGUCUUCAACGUACACUGGAUCUUUUUGCUUUGCUCGACAUGCGAUUAGUCAUGAUCAGCAGUGAUCGAAUUAGAUGAAGAAGUGUACAGUCAGGUGAUUAAGAUGAACAAGAUGUUAUGAGAAAGAUGAUAUUACGUGUCAAGAAGUCAUUAAAGCAAUUCUCUAUUAAAGGUAAUUCGAAUUGAACGAGCAUGGAUAAUGGAAGAUGAUCCUGGCAUGAAGCUAAGAGGCAUAUAAUUUGAAGUUCUCCUGCACUUCAGGAUGAAAUGAAGUGAGAUGACUAUCAAUGAACCAGAUUUACAGAAUGAAAUUUCCUUGAAGAAUAUAAUUGUUAAAAGAAAAGCCUCAAGAAUUUCUCAUGGAUUCUAACUAGGAUAUAGCACUUUAUUUGUGAUUCGUCGUUUUGGUGGUCGCACGUGAGGAUGAUGUUUUAAGGUGCGUGGACUCAGCAGGGGCUCGUAUACAGUAAUCUGAGUAGGUUCAGAUCGCAUCUGAGAUGCCUAGAAUUUGCUUUGACAAAGCCGACACGUCCUGGGUUGUUGGCUGGAGACUUCUGUAGCUUUCAUCAGGUAAUUCAAUCAUCGGAGGACAUGUUCAGGAUAAUGAAUUUAAAUAUCACCGUGGGAAAUAUUCUUCUGAAGAUUUAUUAUUAAAUAUGGAAUUUUUUAUAAGAUGGAUUAUACAAUUUUAUGCAAUGUAAUUGGAUAUGAAAUUAAGUCAACGAAAUUCCGACAAAAAUUCGACGCCACAGGAUAUUUGAAAUUUAUAUUUUACAUCAGCGAGAAUCGCGCUUACAAGCCAUCGAGAUACGUAUUCGAUGCAUCAGUCAUCUUUUUCUUCGAGUAAAGUUUAUUCAGUCGCAUAAUUACUUCGCUGCAUAAAUACAGACAUGUAUUAUUGCCAUCAGGAAGAAAUACAGAAUGCAGCAGGUAUCAUAAUGCAUCAUUACAACGACCAAGCCCAAGGAAUAAUUCAAGAAUAUACUCAUGAUAAAGCAAAGCUCAUCGCUAGUUCAUUUUUAUCAUUGAUUCAUCGGACAUGUUUUUAAUCCUAUAUAUCUUGAAUCAUUAGACGUAAAAAAAUUAAUGAGAUAUAUUUCUUGGACAAGGUCAUCAAGAGAAAGACCAUCAUGAUUUAUCGUUCGUAGUAACAUGUAAGAACGUUUUGAUAACGGUUUAAACAUGUGGCAAUUAAACAUGACGACGACGUGAGUGAAUAAGAAGAAGCUGAAUAAAAGUUUUACAUGAAAAUGUCAAUCUCAUCAUAACGGAAAUAAUUCAAAGAAUAUCUUUGAAGUGAAGAUUUUUUCUGCAUUAACAGAGAAUAUGCGAGAGUUGGUCAUUGGUGUGUUAAGGAAAAGAUCAAAGCGAAUUCGAUCGAUUUCUCACUCGAAGUAGGUAAUCAUGCAUCGCAUUCUUGAGGUGCCUAGUGGAUUUUCGGUUUCAUUGUUCCUGGAGGUAGGAAGAGUGGAAAAAGAAAUGGCCAGUAGGAGUAAGAGAUGCGAAUAAAGUAAGACACAAAGAAAGAAAAAGAUAGAUACGAGAAUGAGGAGAUUCAACAUGGAGUUGAUGGUUGGCUCGUCGUCGGAUUCGUCCUUCCGUGCCGCUCUUGGAGGAAGCAAACGACACAAAAACUGGCGAGCAUUGUCCCGGGACCUGCAGAGACAACCCGCGGACUGCGUGCAUACCAACUGUAUGCUGAGAGAGAGAAAGAGAAAGAGGCUUGCACACCACCUCAAAACCCUGCCGCGUGAGACACUGAGGACGAGCGAAAGGAGAGAGGUGGAGCGGUGGAUUUGAUUUUUAAAUGCAAACAAAUCUACAUCGUGGCAAAAGCGCCGCCGCCUGUCACUCGUCGUCGUCAGGGACUACUUUCGAUCCUUGGAACCUAAGGGAUUUUUUCAAUCAUCGAAGGCCAACCGAUUCUGCGUGGAGGAUCCACUGCUUCAUGUCUUUCUGGAGAGUAAUCGUUUGCCGUGACUACCGCAUGUCCUCCUACGUAUUAUUAUUCCUGCGGUGAAAUUAUCCCAAGUCAUUGUCCGAGUGAUUCGUUGUGAUCAACAUGAGUUUCCUCUGUGGGAUGUAAUUGCUAAGAUGCAUCUUGUCUGCAGAGAACGUUGAGACGUUCAUAAGUUAUCAAAGUAAAGGAGAAGAGAGAAAAUAAACCAGUAGACACAAGGGCAGGGAGAGACAUAAUUGCUGUGGAUUAAUGAGACGGCAUAAUUGCACGAUGAUCGCCGAUCGUUUUAUUAGACAACUUGAGAAAACAGAAAAGAAACAAAAGGAACUGGUCUUUUAGCAAAGACACCGCGUCGCAUAUUAUUAAGCUUCAAUGUUGAGUAUGUUCGGCUGGUCAAAAAUGACAAUUACUCGGGUCGCCAGCUAAAGGACACCGCCACUAAACCUGAACGCCAACUGGAAUGCAGCGUCAUCGGUAGCGCUGUCUUCCAUUGUGGGAGCCGAAAUCUCUUAUGACAACCGUUUCAGUCAUGAAGAUUGUGACCUACGAUUUCUUCAUUCCAACAUGUCGUGCCUUACUUUUACAUCUGCACAAGUGUCCAUCACUAGAUACCUUGGUAAAGACAUGAGAAUCUGGUCGCAUACCAGCGCAAUCUAGUGUCUUUUACUGCGACUAGUCAAGCUCGUCAGGGCUGUUGACUUCUUGGAGAUGAGGACUAAAAACCAGAGCUCAGCAACAGGGACAUUUAAAUGAUGUCGCCGGCUCAACUGUCGCAGUCUACCUUGAGAGAAGGCACACACCAACCACAGCAGCCACAACGACAGCAAGAAUAACUCACAGGUCUGAAGAGCUCGCGGUUAGACGGCUAGACGGACUGAUGGAAAGACGACGGACGGGGCUCAGUCACUGGUGACAUCGUGGUGCUCUUUCUUUCCUCUCUUCAUUCCUCUUAUAUUACUAUCUUUCUCUAAAUGCUCGCCCAGUUAGGUGGGUAAACACUCAGAAACAGAGAUAGUAAAGUAACAAACUUAGCAAGAUCGACUGAGAUAGAGUGAGCACCAACUUGCCGCAUUCAAGGGGUAAAGGGGAAAAGGAUGCUAAUCAGAUGCCGACAACGCCGGCAAACAUCAAAAGAGAAGUAGCGUCGCGGCUCGUCACCGCACGCGCGGCCGUGCCUUUAUUUGAAUGCGCUAUCUUCGGCAACGACGCCAGGAUACCGCUUUUUCGGGACUUUGUCGCUGCUCUUUAGAACCCUAAGGAAUCUCUACCAAUUUCAAAUUGGCUUGCUUAGUUUUUUAUUACAUUAAGUCACCUAAAUUUGACUAACAAUGUUGUUGUAAAUGUUACGCUUUUAUGUUAAUGUAAACGAUAUAUAUUCAUGUGAAAAAUAUUCAACGAGAGAAACUGCAGAUUUUUUACUAGUAAGAAAAACAAUAGCAGAUAUAUUAUUAAAAUAUUUUUUUGAAUUGAUAAAAUGAUCUAAGUCAAUUUCUACACAGUUAAGCAAAUAUUAUACAUAAUCAAACAGACAUAAAAUCCAUUGUAAAAUUUCUAAUUCAGUUAUUACAAUGGAAUAUAACACUAGAUCUAAUCUUGAGGUUUAAAUAAUAGUUUCACUUGAUCCAUAACACGAAAAACAGUUAUUUUAAAAUUUUAGAUAAAACAAUAUUUUCAAAUUAUCUUACUCAAACUUAUUCUAUCUAAUCUAAUCUCUAUAUAAUGUAAUCAUAGCAUAUGAGACCACUAGAUGUGAUUUUUUUUAAAGUGAAUUCAUGUAGUAUAACGUAAAUAUUUAAAUAUAGAUACAUAGACUAUAAAAAUUGUACUAAAAAAAUUAGUUUACAUAUUUAAGUCAAGAGUAAAAUUCAAUGUUAAGUAAAUAGUUUAAAUCUAGAUAGCGCAGCGCCUUUGUGUAAUCUUUGUCAAUGAAAUUACCGUUAGAGAUUAAAAAUCAUCAACUGAAACCAUUACAGAGCUCACAAAUCUUCAUGACAAAUUGAUAAUGAUGAUAGAGAAGGAAAAGAAACUAUUUAAAAACAUUUUAUGUUAUAUUAAUCAUAAAUUCCUUAGCCAAAUUUCUUUAAGUUAUGAUGAAUGUGACAAUGAUUGACUCAUUUUGGUAAUUUAUCAUAGAUUCAAAAUGAACUAAAUUUUUCUUCAAGUGGGGGCAAGUCAUUUAAGAAGAAGAGUUGAGCAUAAAGAUGUUGUUUGAGGCGUCGGACACCUGUGCCAACGGAGUCUGCAUAUGUUACACAAUCUCUUUUCUCCUGUUGGGCUUGGCUUAUCCUGCAACGUACACGCACUGUUGUAACCAUACUUAUGUAGAUAUACAUAAGGAACGUACCCUACAUUAAGAUGCAGCAGAUGAUAAGCUUGGCUUUACGAUCUCGCGCUUCGACGAUUCAUAGCUUGGCAAUACGAGUGUUCGUCCUCUCACAGCUUCUUUUUCUUUAUCUUCUUCUCUUCUUCUUCGUUGGCUGAUCUUUUUGUUCCUCCUCUCCUUCUUCUACUUCCAAUACUCAUAAGCCAAUUCGAACUAUGUAGGUAUAGUCUUAGUGUAAUGAUUUAUUCUACACUCAUAAUACGAGUUAAGGAAUAAUGCAGAGUCAAUCAUGUUAGCUGUGAGAAUAAAGAAAUACAAGGAGAGGAAGAUGAUCGAAGGCAUCGUAAUUCAUAGGUUUAUGGCAUUGUUAGCGCAUUGUUGUCGAAUAUCGUUGUGGUUGCAUUGGAUAAAGAGAAAGAGAGUAAGACAGAGUAGCAUUGUGGUAUAUGUAGUAGUAUCAUGAUACAUCCUGUUGCAUAUUUCACCUCGAAAAAGCCUCCUGGCCGUGGUCCACAGUGAGUAUACGCGAGGGUGUGUAAAUCAAACCUUUGCUGACCAGCUUGUAAAUCUUUUAGUAAGUACACACCGCUUGGAUAAUUUAAACAGCCGCCUUGGCUUUGAAGGUGGUUUUAGUUAUCGAUAUGAGUCUAUGUGAAUUCAGUGCUUGAGUCUCACGUGAGAAUAUUAAUACGUAAUGUUUCUUUUGUUUUGUUAUUUGAUAUUUUGUAACAAGCUACUCAACGCCUACUAAACAUUUUUUAUUAUCUUGACAAAUUGUAAAUUUAAUUACUAUAUCAUUUUAUUGUUAUUUUGAAUUUGUGAAGAAUGUAAAUAAAUAUAUUAAAUGUGAAUAUUGUGAGUACUUGAGAUGAAGUAAUAGGAGAAAAAAGAUAGAGACUCAAGAGUUGGGAGAGACGACAGGUGGGCUAGAUUCUUG